RNAcentral lists this long non-coding RNA (2790 nucleotides) under Salmo salar (Atlantic salmon). RNAcentral describes it as "lncRNA (ENSSSAG00000091212.1)". The stretch from base 833 to 886 matches the Rfam family "UnaL2 LINE 3' element". Lineage: Eukaryota; Metazoa; Chordata; Actinopteri; Salmoniformes; Salmonidae. The record is from RNAcentral.
CCACCACCAGCCACAUCCAGGGGAGAUGACGUCUCUCAUCACCGCAGCUGGAGCUGCACACACCUGUUGUUAUUUUGCCUGAAAACCACAAAGGUGUCUAACAAUUUUGGCUUUAUCAAGUGUUACUCACAGCUAUGUGUUUUUUGGCUUUGAACAUUGUGUGAAUGUUGUAUUGAUCUUUCGAAAGCCCUCAGUACCUCGACUGCUGGCAGGUAGAGUGCAGUGAGAUAUUAAUCACCAAGCCUUACCAAGUGGUGCACCAUGCAGUGAGAUAAUAAUCGCCAAGCCUUACCAAGUGGGUGCACCGUGCAGAGAGAUAAUAAUCACCAAGCCUUACCAAGUGGGUGCACCGUGCAGUGAGAUAAUAAUCACCAAGCCUUACCAAGUGGGUGCACUAGAGCAGUGACGGCUCUAUUUCUUAGAUCAGUGUGUGAAUGGAGGAAAACAGGCAAUUGACCUCGUCCAGAUUGAUAUCUCAUCUAGACACAGUCAACUGAUGGUACCUCAUCUAGACACAGUCAAGUGAUGAUACCUCAUCUAGACACAGUCAACUGAUGAUACCUCAUCUAUACACAGUCAACUGAUGAUACCUCAUCUAGACACAGUCAACUGAUGAUACCUCAUCUAGACAGAUGGUGUCAUCGUCUUUACUUCAGACUGCCUGGACAUUACUCCAACAUUGUCCUCCCUGAAAAGAGAAAGAGAGAGAUGCCUUCCCUGUGGCUCAGUUGAUAGCACAUGGUGUUUACAACGCCAGCAUGGUGUGUGCAACGCCAGGGUUGUGGGUUUGAUUCCCACGGGGAGGCCAGUACAAAAAAAUGUAUGAAAUGUAUGUAUUCACUACUGUAAGUUGCUCUGGAUAAGAGCGUCUGCUAAAUUACUAAAAUGUAGAUGAUGUUACUGUGAGUAGACCACAGUCUACGCCCUUUCCUAGGACUGUUGAUAAACGCUUAGCUGCACAACCAAAGUGUUUCCCAGAGUGUGUACUAUUCCGCAUCCAGCCCUAGGUGCCCCUUUUUUAGUUGCACAGGUUUUUCACAUAUUAUUCAUCAAUCUGACAGAGUACCGCUUAACGAUCCAAUUAGUGAUGGGAGCCUCCCCGUUUUAGCAGCUGUGAGCGUUCACACACACACACAACGCUUCUUUUAAUUGUUUUUUCUCUCUCGGCAGAAUUGGAGUAGGCAGUUCCAUCAAUACCGUGAUCAAUUUAGAACAAACAAAUUAUUUUAGUGAAGAGAAAAAUAUACAAACAGCUGUCUCCAUACCACACCAAUGAAUAGUAAUGUCUCUGACCUGUGUAGUACAACUCGUCUUCAUUAGGUGGAUGGAAAAGAUUAGAUGUAAGGUCUUUUUUUAAGUAAAUACUCAAAUUAGGCGCUAAGAAUCAUCUGAAUGAUCAAUAAUAAUUAUAGGUUUGACAAGUUGACAGGAAUACACUAAUAAACUAAAAUGUAAAAACAUGCACAUCAAUUAUAUUCAGUGGUGUAAAGUACUUAAGUAUAAAUACUUUAAAGUACUACUUAAGUCGUUUUUUGAGUGUAUCUGUACUUUAUAUUUUUGAUAAUUUUAACUUUUACCUCACUACAUUCCUUACGAAAAUACUUUUUUACUCCAUACAAUUUUCCCUCACACCCAAAAGUACUGAUUACAUGUUGAAUCCUUAGCAGGACCGGAAAAUGGUUUAAUUCACACACUUAUCAAGAGAACAUCCCUGGUCAUCCCUACUGCCUCUGAUCUGGCAGACUCACUAAACACAAAUGCAUUGUUUGUAAAUGAUGUCUGAGUGUUGCAGUGUGCCCCUGGCUAUGAGUACAUUUUAAAAAAAGAACAUUGAUUUAUACUUUUGCUUUUGAUACUUAAGUAUAUUUAGAACCAAAUACUUGUAGACUAUUACUCAAGUAGUAUUUUACUGGUUGACUUUCACUUUUACAAUGAGUACAUUUCUAUUAAUAUGUUUAUACUUUUACUCAAGUAUGACAAUUGGGUACUCUUUCCACAACUGAUUAUAUUCUUCCAUAAAACCAAAUAAGUUGUAAAUCACCAGAAAAUUGAUGUUUUUCUAAAAUGUUAUUUUGUAAUUUUGCCUUUUCAUCAUCUGAGCUUUCUGUUGACGUUGUGUUGUUGUGCUAGAUUGUUAUUGUAGUAGUUAUUGUGUACUCCUGGCCCAGUUGAGAUAAUAUUAUGGGAUGUUGCUAUGGGACGUUGCCAUGGAUUAAUUAGCUCUAUGUGACCGCAGGGACCAAGCAGAACUAGAUACGUCAUUACUGAAGAGUAAAAAGGAACAAUGUGAGACAAAUUAUACAACGCUUGAUAAAUGAACUAAUGUUACACUGAUUAAAUGGGUAAAAUGCAAUCUAUUUUUUCUCAAAUUACCAAUUUGUAUGUCGUCUUAAGACAGACAUGAAUCGAAUAUGUUUGUUUGCAAACGCGAAGACAGAGUUGUAACUCUAUUUAAUAGUAAUCACACGGCUGUAUUUGUAUCCGUUUCCAUAACAAGUAAAUGUAGCUAAAUUACCAGAUAGAGAAAACAUCACACCUCAAUCACAUACCGGUCAAAAUGGUUCUUCAUGAUCAGUAAUGGUAUUCAGCAUAACCUUCCUCUCAUGUGAUAUGGUCAGUAAUGGUAUUCAGCAUAACCUUCCUCUCAUGUGAUAUGGUAGGUAAUGGUAUUCAGCAUAACCUUCCACUCAUGUGAUAUGGUCAGUACGGUAUUCAGCAUAACCUUCCUCUCAUGUGAUAUGGUCAGUACGGUAUUCAGCAUAACCUUCCUCUCAUGUGAUAUGGUAGGUA